This 442-nucleotide ribosomal RNA is filed under the name uncultured bacterium. Its description in RNAcentral is "bacterial SSU rRNA". It matches the Rfam family "Bacterial small subunit ribosomal RNA", at positions 366 to 826 of the family's 1533-position model. The record is from RNAcentral.
GGACAAUGGAGGCAACUCUGAUCCAGCCAUGCCGCGUGUGUGAUGAAGGCCUUCGGGUUGUAAAACACUUUUAGAUGUGACGAUGAUGACGGUAACAUCAGAAAAAGCUCCGGCUAACUUCGUGCCAGCAGCCGCGGUAAUACGAGGGGAGCGAGCGUUGUUCGGAAUCACUGGGCGUAAAGCGUGCGUAGGCGGUUUUGUAAGUCAGAAGUGAAAGCCUGGGGCUCAACCUCAGAAUUGCUUUUGAGACUGCAAAGCUAGAGUAUUGGAGAGGUUAGUGGAAUUCCGAGUGUAGAGGUGAAAUUCGCAGAUAUUCGGAAGGANCACCAGUGGCGAAGGCGACUAACUGGACAAUUACUGACGCUGANGCACGAAAGCGUGGGGAUCAACAGGAUUANAUACCCUGGUAGUCCCNCCGUAAACGAUGUAUGCUAGCUGUUGG